Long non-coding RNA from Rhineura floridana, 905 nucleotides. RefSeq lists it as uncharacterized. Lineage: Eukaryota; Metazoa; Chordata; Lepidosauria; Squamata; Rhineuridae. The transcript is spliced from 3 exons. The record is from RefSeq and is a predicted model, not a curated record.
UGAGCUGGGGAAUGUUCUGAAAAUUUAAUUUAAUGACAAUAUGCUUGCUGUACAAUCCAUAAUACCUCCUGAAUCCAGCAUGGGGCUAUUAAAACUGAUAGGAGCAUAUUAUCACCGAACUGAAAAGCUGGGCUGGGAUGGUUGCUGGAUGUCUCUACAGGGAAUGCUAGGGCCUCUUUGAAAAUCCACUAACCUUGAAACAAAGGCCAUCAUCUCUUGGUGCUCAAAUGAUUGACUGAAUUCAGCCUGAAAUUUGCAAUGCCAGCUACCUGGAUGAACAUUCUGGUGAUUUGACCUUUAUUUGUAUCGGAAAUUUAUAGUUGAUUUAUUACUUUAAAAGAUUCACUGAGAUGCAAUCUUAGGAAGUGCUGCUGAGGAUACCUAGAAGGGAAGCAUCACUGCAUGAGUCCUUGCUCUGAUCAGUUGCAACCACCACCUUUAUUUUUCCAAAAUGCAGUGUGCUGGAAGUUCAAGGGACCCCGACCCCACACAGAAGAUGGAGUGUACUUUAGCCCUGUAUGUUCUCAAGAGCGCGCAUGCAUGCAUGCACGCACACACACACACAUGCACACACACACACAGAACCAGUUUCUGCCAGUGGACAAUGCCAUGGGAAGGUCAGGAUAGACCUGGAGUUGCAUCUGUUUCCUUUGUUGUUGUGAUUCAGAUGUCAACUAAAGAUAUUUCUGUUUUUCCCAGGACUUUUCAGUGACAGUCUUUAAGGUAAUGUUUGCCCUGAACAACAAUGUGUGAAUUUGUGUUUUAAAUGACUAUUUUUAAUGAAUAUUUGAGUUCUGUAUUUGUUUUAAUCUUUGAUGUAAUUCUCUUGUUUACCCUUUGUUGUGUAUCACUCUGGGCUCUCUUGGAGGGUGAUUCACAAAUACAAUAAAUAAUAAUAAAAUAAU